AAGCCUCUCUUCUGCUUUGUGCACUCCAGAGCAAAGCUGGGAUGUGCUGGCUUUCAGAGAGCACAGGAGCCAGAACCUGUGUGCAUCUUGUCUCCUUGGCACAGUGCCUUGGGGAAGGAGGCAAAGUGGGUUAUGCUGUCUGCUCAUUUGGCCCACCAUCAAUCAUCCUCAUUAGUAACUUUUUCAUCUCCGUUAUUUCAACUAAAAGGGCAAAGUCCACAAGCUUAUUACAGUCUGAGAAGCUAUGCUUCUGCAAUGCCCUCAGCCGCCCUAGUGGCUCCCAGUUCACCCCACAGACCAGCAGCGUUGCUGCCGUCGAGGCUAGUGUGCCCUGCCCGCAUGGCCCAGCACCAGCUGGAACAGAGCGGGAACUGAAUGUGCUGAUGGGCAAAAAACAUCUUGUGCAAGGGCCAGAGAAGAUCAACUUACCCACAAGACACUGAAAAGCAGUUUCUAGGGCAGGCAGAAAGCCUUGGGACCACAAGCAGCACAAUCUGGUAACUGCAGAGUGAUGAGGGACAGGCAGCUCUGCACAAGUGAUGCCUGUUGUAGGCAUUUGGCUAGGGGUACCCUUAUGCUGGGCUGUUAGGCACAGCAGCAUCUGAGUGCUCCUGCUUGUGAAAGAUGUGAAGAAACCCAGGACUAGCUAUGAUGAAGCCCAGGCCUUCCUGAGCUCACCAAGAGAGGCAGUGGAGCAUCCCCAGCAUGGGCACCCAGCUUCCCCAGUUGGAGAGGCUGGGUUUGCUGGUGUGCAGCAGGCAGAGCUGCACAGCCAAGGAGCCCCCACACCACAGCCAGCCGUACACACAAAUGCCCAUGAAAUAGCUUUACAAAACACAAGCUCAGCAGGGCGUGAACUCCAAAGCUACCACAUGUAAGCAACAGCUAAUGCUGAAGGAGAAACUACUGGAUCCUUUCCACCAUCCCUUACCCUCUGGGAGCCUUUCUUUUGCAUCUGUAAGGUAUUAGCAUAAGAAAUUACUAAUUACUUUUGCAGCUCCACCCUAACAAAGCAAGCUCAUCUGCCUCCUUAGGAGAGGUCAUGCCCGGACAACCAUCUGGCUGCUUGAUUGCUUCAGACACCUCCUGGGGUUCUAAAGACAGUGUGGACUCUAGGGCAUGAGGAGACAAGUGGUUGCUGAGUAGCUAUGGGGUGAAGCAGCUUUCAGCCCCCUGCCCUGGGCUGAGCAAGCAGUACCAUGCUUUUGGUAGCUGGGAAAACUGAGGAACUGUGCAAGGAAGAGGGGUGCUUGCGUGACAGCACAUCCCACCUACUCACACACACGUGCAAAGGAAUGCAUCCAUGUGCACAUGCCUAUGCACCACACUGGGGCUUUCUGCAGCUUUCCUGUGAGGCAGCACAGCAUGCAGUGAUGGGAACCUCCCCAAAGGGCUAUGUCCUUGGAGAGGAUGUUCAUGGGGCCUCUGAAGGCUUCAUCCAAGACAUCUGGCCAUACUACUCCAGCAGCUGGAGCAGCUGGACCCUCCUUCCCUCCUGUCCACACCUAUGAAACCAGCAGAGAUUAACGUCUUUCUUCUAACCCAAAACCUCAAGUCACCCUGUGGAGCAGAAGACCCCCAGCAAACAUACUGAAACCACUAGGUCUGCCCAAACCUGACGUGGUGCCAUCCCUGUCCCUGGACAGGCUGGUGAGCUAGGCUGAGCACAGCUCUUGGGAGGGGGAGCUAAGCAGACAGAUGCAGCUCCAGCCCCUCAGGAAAAGCUUCCUCCAAAGCUGUACCCGCUCAGAGCACUCCCACCCUGGCUAUUGUUUUGGGAAUGGCUGGAAAAUAUCAGCAGGGCGCUGGGUGCGGGUGGGGGGUCAGGAAAAAGGAAAAACGGAUGAUUAGAUUUUUUUUUUUUAAAUCAGCCAAUAAAUUAUAUUAACUUUUCCAUUGA
This is a long non-coding RNA of Pezoporus occidentalis (night parrot), 1900 nucleotides long. RefSeq lists it as uncharacterized. The record is from RefSeq and is a predicted model, not a curated record. NCBI's taxonomy places the organism in Eukaryota, Metazoa, Chordata, Aves, Psittaciformes, Psittacidae. The transcript has 2 exons.